This is a long non-coding RNA of Neofelis nebulosa (Clouded leopard), 963 nucleotides long. RefSeq lists it as uncharacterized. Lineage: Eukaryota; Metazoa; Chordata; Mammalia; Carnivora; Felidae. The transcript has 6 exons. The record is from RefSeq and is a predicted model, not a curated record.
CUACCCCCCGAGCGCCAGCCCAGCUCUCGGGCCCUCCAGUGCCGGGAGAAGUGAUGCGCGGUGCGGACAGCAGGGCGCAGCCGAGCCAGGUGGAAUCGGCCCCCGAGGCCCUAGACCACGGUUCUGCAGGGGCCCUGCUGACCGAAGAGCCUAGGGACAAAGGCAGUGAACGCGACAAGCAAUGUCAAGGCGACGAGAUCAAGGAGAGGAGAUAGCACGGACUUGAACAGCCACCUCCUCAUCAGUACCAACACCUCUUCACUUACCGCACCCGAGGCCCAGAACACCCCAAACCGCAAGAAGGCAAAAAGACAAAAGCAGCCUCCACAGGAGAAAAUUUCUCGGCUCCAGAUGCUAAGCAAGUACAAGCACCUGUUAACAAAGAUCUUCAAUUAAAAAAGAAAGAGAGAGAGAGAAGAACCUCCUACUUUGGAAAGGGGAAACAUUUGGACAAAGUCUCAAGUUUCUUACGUGACACAAAGGAGUUACAAGACAUAAAAUUAGGAUAACCUCGAAAGGACUACUUUAAAAAUUUCAUACAAAAUUUGCCCACGCCAAUGUCUACACUGCACAAAGGAUUACAAUAACUGACUAUGAUUCCUGAGGAUCAGUUGUCAACCUUUUGAAAUGUCCCUUUCAGUAGAAGACAGGAGCUGGACUUUCACAACUGGAUCUUCCAACUUUCACAUCAGACAAGCCAGUCAAACACCAGACCAUGAAUAAUCUCUUUAUGAUUUUUGAAGUUGCCCCCAAGACACCCUCUGCUGAGACCCCUGCUGUUCUCAUCGUUCAUCACUGCCCAUUCCAUGUACUUCGGCUAUCCUGAGCACCCCCUUCUGUUCCCUGCUUCUGUGCCCCACACAUUCUUCCUGCCUGAACUACGCUUCUCCUAUACAUUCUCCAGGUGAUCACCUUUUCAACUCUUAAAGUGCAUCCUCUUCUAUAAAGUCUUUCCCAGAUGCA